AGCAUAUCAAUAAGCGGAGGAAAAGAAACCAACAGGGAUUGCCCUAGUAACGGCGAGUGAAGCGGCAACAGCUCAAAUUUGAAAUCUGGCUCUCGGGCCCGAGUUGUAAUUUGUAGAGGAUGUUUUUGAUGCGGUGCCUUCCGAGUUCCCUGGAACGGGACGCCAUAGAGGGUGAGAGCCCCGUCUGGUUGGAUGCCAAAUCUCUGUAAAACUCCUUCAACGAGUCGAGUAGUUUGGGAAUGCUGCUCUAAAUGGGAGGUAUAUGUCUUCUAAAGCUAAAUACCGGCCAGAGACCGAUAGCGCACAAGUAGAGUGAUCGAAAGAUGAAAAGCACUUUGAAAAGAGAGUUAAAAAGUACGUGAAAUUGUUGAAAGGGAAGCGUUUGUGACCAGACUUGGACUUGGUUAAUCAUCUGGGGUUCUCCCCAGUGCACUUCUCCAGUUCAGGCCAGCAUCAGUUUUCGCCGGGGGAUAAAGGCUUUGGGAAUGUGGCUCCCCUCGGGGAGUGUUAUAGCCCAUUGUGUAAUACCCUGGCGGGGACUGAGGUUCGCGCAUCUGCAAGGAUGCUGGCGUAAUGGUCAUCAACGACCCGUCUUGAAACACGGACCAAGGAGUCGUCUUCGUAUGCGAGUGUUCGGGUGUCAAACCCCUACGCGUAAUGAAAGUGAACGCAGGUGAGAGCUUCGGCGCAUCAUCGACCGAUCCUGAUGUUCUCGGAUGGAUUUGAGUAAGAGCAUACGGGGCCGGACCCGAAAGAAGGUGAACUAUGCCUGUAUAGGGUGAAGCCAGAGGAAACUCUGGUGGAGGCUCGCAGCGGUUCUGACGUGCAAAUCGAUCGUCAAAUAUGGGCAUGGGGGCGAAAGACUAAUCGAACCUUCUAGUAGCUGGUUUCCGCCGA
RNAcentral lists this ribosomal RNA (897 nucleotides) under Fusarium sp. RNAcentral's name for it is "partial large subunit ribosomal RNA". It matches the Rfam family "Eukaryotic large subunit ribosomal RNA", at positions 37 to 964 of the family's 3401-position model. The record is from RNAcentral. Lineage: Eukaryota; Fungi; Ascomycota; Sordariomycetes; Hypocreales; Nectriaceae.